RNAcentral lists this ribosomal RNA (439 nucleotides) under uncultured bacterium. RNAcentral's name for it is "partial 16S ribosomal RNA". It matches the Rfam family "Bacterial small subunit ribosomal RNA", at positions 339 to 795 of the family's 1533-position model. The record is from RNAcentral.
CUACGGGGUGCUCCAGUGAGGAAUAUUGCACAAUGGGGGGAACCCUGAUGCAGCAACGCCGCAUGGAGGAUGACGCAUUUCGGUGUGUAAACUCCUUUUAUAUGUCAAGAAAAUGACGGUAGCAUAUGAAUAAGCACCGGCUAACUCCGUGCCAGCAGCCGCGGUAAUACGGAAGGUGCAAGCGUUACUCGGAAUCACUGGGCGUAAAGGACGCGUAGGCGGGUUGGAAAGUCAGGUGUGAAAUCCUACAGCUUAACUGUAGAACUGCACUUGAAACUUCUAAUCUAGAGUAUGGGAGGGGGAGAUGGAAUUAGUGGUGUAGGGGUAAAAUCCGUAGAUAUCACUAGGAAUACCUAAAGCGAAGGCGAUCUCCUGGAACAUUACUGACGCUAAGGCGUGAAAGCGUGGGGAGCAAACAGGAUUAGAUACCCGAGUAGUC